RNAcentral lists this ribosomal RNA (253 nucleotides) under uncultured bacterium. RNAcentral's name for it is "partial 16S ribosomal RNA". It matches the Rfam family "Bacterial small subunit ribosomal RNA", at positions 524 to 776 of the family's 1533-position model. The record is from RNAcentral.
UACAGAGGUCUCAAGCGUGGUUCGGAUUUAUUGGGCGUAAAGGGUGCGCAGGCGGUAUGGUAAGUUUGGUGUGAAAUCCUGGGGCUUAACCCCAGAAUUGCACUGAAUACUGCCGUGCUAGAGGACUGGAGAGGAGAUUAGAAUUCACGGUGUAGCAGUGAAAUGCGUAGAUAUCGUGAGGAAGACCAGUGGCGAAGGCGAAUCUCUGGACAGUUCCUGACGCUCAUGCACGAAGGCCAGGGGAGCAAACGGG